This is a long non-coding RNA of Trichoplusia ni (cabbage looper), 2623 nucleotides long. RefSeq lists it as uncharacterized. The record is from RefSeq and is a predicted model, not a curated record. NCBI's taxonomy places the organism in Eukaryota, Metazoa, Arthropoda, Insecta, Lepidoptera, Noctuidae. The transcript is spliced from 2 exons.
AUCUAUCGUGUUUGAUUUAUUUUGCCAAUACACAGGAACUCUUGCAUUGGAAUGAGUCGUUUGUAAAUAAAAUAGUGACUUUUAUAUGAGUAGUGCUAUAUAAACAGUACCAAUGAUUAAAGAUUAGAAUAACAUAACUUCUUUUACUACCAUUUAUACCUACUGUGCGACCGUGAAGGUUGAGAAUGUUACGUCAUUUUGCUUUUAGUGUGUGAUAUAAACUUACUUAUUUUGUUUCUGUACUGAGACGUGUUUUUAACUCAAAGAGUGUUUGAAGUUGUGAGUAGUAAUAACAAGUGUAAAACGUCUGAAAUGAGUGGUUACUUACAUACACCGGCUGCGACAAAAUGCCGCCAUGUUAUUUAGGAUUCGCAGUUUCGCUGUCAACUACGGAUCGUGGUUAGCCCUGAUACAGUCGGAGGAUAUUUAUUAUUGAAAACCUGUGGUUAAUUUGGUUUUGCACUUUUAUAAUAACGUAACAUCGCCACGGAGCGCCAGAACUCAGCGCUAACGGGCGCCAAUCGCUUCAAUGAAACAUAUAUGCCAGUACUGGCUAUUGAAGAUGCAAGGUAAGGCUUAUUCUUUACUAUCUGCUUAUAUUUAUAUAUUCCUGUAUCUUUAUGAAUCGAAUAUUAAUCCUUAUUGAAGACAUGGUGUCACAAACGCUACUUUUGUUGAUUUCUACCUCGUAGGGAGAAUUUGGACAGGAUAUUUGGAGGAAAUCCUUUAGUCGCAAUAAAUUCCAUUCGUGGUUAUUAUUAUUCGUAAUUAUUUUAUUUGCUACUUUAGAGAUUUGGACGGAACUCAAAUGCGACUAGAAAACUAGAUUAAACGCGAAUAUAGUGAAUUCAACUAUUCGCGAAUGGACCGUCGACAGAAGGCUGUCUAAGCAACUAUAUCGUAUCAAUAAAAAGGGUUAAUAUUCGAUUCACACUUUCCUUAGGAUAAAGGCUUUGUUGAAAGUUUUUAUUCGAGGAUACCUCAAUAUUCAUAAUGUUCAUUCAUAAACUCGCAAGCAAGCUCUCGUUAGUAUUAUUAAUGAUUAGUUAUUUUCCUAGUUUUCUUACGUCGUAUUAUGCAAGGUCUUAAAUAUCAGUAGAAUGUAUUACAAAAUUUCAAUAAAAUCCUCUUACAGUCCGUGGUUCUAGAAGAAAAUGAAAUAUUUUCCGAGAGAGUAUGAUAUCGCCCAUGGCAACUUGUAAAGAAAGUAAAGCCUGAGUUUCAAAGCAUAAUAAUCUGCUGCAAUUUUUACUUUCAAACAGUUCUUUUACUUGUUUCUUCUAAAUUUUUAUGAAGCGCGUUCUGUUUGUGUAUAACAAACAAACUAAAUUUAAUUAGUAAAUGUAAAAAAGGUCAUCUCUGAAAUAAUUUCAAGAGUUUUAAUGGGAUUUCAUAUUUACGUUGUUCCCGGUAAACUGACAGUAAUGCAUGCUUAAAGUUUUACUAUGUUUUUUACUUGAGGCGUGUUACAGCCCUGGAUUCGUUAUUAUAAACGCACUGAAUGAGGUUAUCUGCGUAAUUUUUGCUACCCGAUCCGGGUUUCUGCGCAUUAGGAAUUGAUCUGGAAUUAAAAUGGUGUAACUAGAUUGUACUAGACCUAAUAGACUCUAUUGUAGAUUGGCUUAAAAAGGGGAUGUAUUAUAGAAAUUGUAUAUAGGUUGAGAAAAUAAAUUUGUACUUAUGGUAAUAUUUGAGCUAUUGAAUUGGCGCGUGGUUCUCAUGGCGACGCUCCGACGGCGAUAGCGGCAGACGGUCUCCAUGACGACACCGGAGACUCGCAUGCCUCCAACCGCGGUGUGGGUACGGGUGCGAUCAAUCCCGGGCGGAGGAAGUCUGCACCCACCCCGCCGCCACCGCCGCCACCGACGCCGCCGUCGCCGUCGUUUACCGCUGCGGUCAACGCGCACUCUUCUCGCGCACAUAUUCUUACUAUAAUUUUAAAACCAUUACUCUUUCCGUCCUCCUAGAUGACUUAAUUGAAAUGUAGACAAGCGCGUUUGCACACAUCAUAUUGAUGGAUUAGGUGCAUUCAACACUACGGUAAUUUAUUAAAAUAUAUUUAUAUCUCCUUCAAAAUAUUCAUCAAUCAAAACUUGACUAAGCCGUUAAUGGAAAAUAAUUUAAAUUACCAAUGCGAUCUUGAUAACUUAGUAAUAGGUCUGUUGGACAUGACUGAACCGCACACUGACUCAGUUAAGCGCUAUAGAUUUGGUAGAGAAAUAAAUAAAAAAGUUUUUACUGUCUAGAGCUCGUUUACGAUAACAUCGCUUAUUCUCCGUAACUCCGCGAUGUAACUUACACAAUAAACGUAACGCAACAUGUAGAUACUGGCAACGCUUGGUUGGUUUUCCUGAUCUUGGCAUUGGUCCUGCUUCGUUUGCAACGCCUCUAAAAUUGGUAUAAAAUUGGAAACUUUCUAUUUUUUAUGAUGUUAACAUUGAAAGGAUUUUUCAACGAUCAAAUUUAUCGUUAAUUAAGUAUUUACGCAUGGUCUAAUACGGAAACAAUCACCAAAAUGUACGUUACGUUUUGGUUUCCACGCUUCUAUAUUUAAUUCACCAAAUUAUUGACUUAUUCUAGCGAUAAUCAUAAAGAACGAUCGAACUAUACCUCAAUUGAUAUG